GAGUUUGAUCGUGGCUCAGGACGAACGCUGGCGGCGUGCCUAAUACAUGCAAGUCGAACGAGUCCUCCCAAUUUGAUUUUAUGCUUGCAUAAAUGAUUUUUGGAUUCGGGACGAGUGGCGAACUGGUGAGUAACACGUGGGUAACCUGCCCUAAAGCAGGGGAUAACAUUUGGAAACAGAUGCUAAUACCGUAUAAUUAGUUGGAACCACAUGGUUCCAACUUGAAAGAUGGCUCUGCUAUCACUUUAGGAUGGACCCGCGGCGUAUUAGCUAGUUGGUGAGAUAAAGGCUCACCAAGGCGAUGAUACGUAGCCGACCUGAGGGGGUAAUCGGCCACAUUGGGACUGAGACACGGCCCAGACUCCUACGGGAGGCAGCAGUAGGGAAUCUUCCACAAUGGACGCAAGUCUGAUGGAGCAACGCCGCGUGAGUGAAGAAGGGUUUCGGCUCGUAAAACUCUGUUGUUAAAGAAGAACAAGUGUAAGAGUAACUGUUACGCUUUGACGGUAUUUAACCAGAAAGCCACGGCUAACUACGU
This 538-nucleotide ribosomal RNA is filed under the name uncultured Lactobacillus sp. RNAcentral describes it as "bacterial SSU rRNA". It matches the Rfam family "Bacterial small subunit ribosomal RNA", at positions 9 to 506 of the family's 1533-position model. Lineage: Bacteria; Bacillati; Bacillota; Bacilli; Lactobacillales; Lactobacillaceae. The record is from RNAcentral.